CGUAACUUCCUCUCACGAAUCCUGUCGACGCUCUAAUACCACUUGUUAUGGUGGUAAUCAAUAAAACAAUAAAGUGAAUAAUUUUAUGGGAAAACUUCAAAAACCCCCCCUGUGGUUUCGUGCAUUCUCACUUUGCUACCCUGUGGUUUAAAACGUAUCAAUUUACCCCCCUGUGGUUUUAUUUUUAUCUUUUCGGAAGCUUUUUCGUUAAUAUUUCGUUAAAUUAUAUACAAAAAACUUCAGAUAACCAUCUAUAUUUAUCGAAUAGUCACUUUAGUAUCCUUUAAUUUUAACUUUGUCACUGAUUUUUAAAAAAAAUAAUAAUAAAAUUGAUAACAAAAAGAUAAAAACGAAACCACAGGGGGGCAAAUUGAUACGUUUUAAACUACAGGGUAGCAAAGUGAGAAUGCACGAAACCACAGGGGGGGUUUUUGAAGUUUUCCCUAAUUUUAUUAAUGUGGAGAAUAAUUAAUAGAUUUGCGGUGCACUUGUUCUACAUAGUCUUAGCCUUUUAUAAUGCAUAUGGAUAACAAAAAAACAAAAUCUAAACUGAUUAACAAAAUCCCUCGUAGCAAAUCUAACUAACAAAUCUUCAUAACAAAUCUAACUUAAAAACUAACUAACAAUUUGAUCUUAUCUUUAACAGGCGUUGUAGGAAAAAUUAGUCUAUUUACACAACAAAGUAAGUACGUAUUAUAAUUUGUUGAAAGUUUGGGGACUUUCGUGCAUUUAAAUUAAUCAAAUCAGUACUUGUCUAGCGGUAAGAAGCCUAAUAAGCAGAUCAUAAGGUUAGGGCUCAUAAGUGCUCAAUAGCUUCACGAUCGUGAGGUUGGAGUUCGAGCCUUCGUGUUUGCACUGAAACUUUACUUAGGAUUCAGAAUUUCCGACCUGCAGUUUAGUUUAUACAUGUCCUUGGGAUAUGAUUGUGGAGUCUGGUAGGCUAAUGUCAACAAGUCAUGCUUUUCGCAAGACGAAAUCACCAAAAUUAACUGCAUGCAAUUUGUAAUAAAAAGCAUUCUUGGAAAGAUUAUUAAUAUCUAUAUAACUACUAUCCUAUUCACUCCAAUAUAAUUUACUAAUAUUUCAUUUUGAAAAGAUGAUAAUGAAACAAAGAACUAAGGAACUAACGUAAUCAAGAAGUACUAAUUUCCUAACUUCCGUGCACAUGUGUAUCGCUUUCACUAAGCUUGUCUUAUCACGAACUUUUUGUGUUAGGAGGGACAAAUGAGGAUCUACAUCAUUUUUGGCUUACUAGAAACCUUUCAAACAGGGGUUGGUGCGAAUUUACUUAAAAUGCUAAAACCUCUGCGUAUUGAACCGACGAAUAUGAGCUUAAUUAGUUAAUUACUAAGCUAAUUUCGAGCUCAUUUGAGUAAAACUUAAACUACUCAUGAACGUGUAAAAUAUCAUCAGUAGUUUUAAGUAUCUUCGCUUACGUACUUGAAAAGAUCAAGUGGAAAAUAACUGUUGGGGAAAAUAUAUGCAGUUAAAUCCAAUUGUAGUAAAAAUCUAACUAAUUUAGUUAUAAAAAUAAUAUUGAACUUACAGAUAAACACAAAAAUUUAAAUAAAAAAUUUAAUCUAUUCGAAAGCGUACAAGGUAAAGCUGUCCAAAAUAUCCAACGUAUCACAUCUGACCCGGACCCUACCCGAAUCCUAUCCGGACCCAAAUUGGACCCGAUAAAAAUAAAUAGUAUACGGGUAAAAAAAUUACCCAUUAAAGUUUCAGAUAUGAGUCUGGAUAUUUUAUACCCAUACCCGAUGUGGACCGGACUCGAACCCAACUUUUAAAUGAGUAGGGUCCGUAAUAGUUUUCAAAUCCGAAUUCGGACCCGGACCGGUUGAAAUAUCUGAUAGUAAAUAAAAAUGAUUUCAACUUUUGAGAGAUCAAUUUUAAUAGGACUGAUAGAUGAGGGGUCUCUAAAUAUUUUCAUCCUAGCUAUUGAAACACUGAAAUCCUAACCGGCCGCUUUUUUACUCCUUUCUUUUUUUUAAUUUUUUUACUCUUUGUUUUUUACUCAUUAUUUUUUUUGUUUUAUUUCUGCCUAAGAGUUUUUAAUGAAACAAUAUUUUCAUCGUCGUCAUGUUUUGGAGCCAACGUCUGAUGAGCCGGCGAUUGGUCUUGUUUUAACCUCGAGCUUUCAUCCUUCGGUUUUUAGCCCAUAUCAUAGGGAGUUGCCUAAGACCUUCCCCAUCGUCGCCGCAAGUUACUUUUGAGUAUUUAGAAUGCAACAACCUCUGUUUUUUAUCGAAAAAAAGUUACAUGUGAGAAUUCUAUAAAGAUAGGCAUGAGAAAUAAAUUAAUGUUAUUUUACAUCGCAAUAAACCAUUGAUAAAAGAAGAGAAAACAAAACAAAUAAUAACAGUUGAUGUUUUAAAUGUUCUUGAUGAUAAAACCAAACAUAAAGGGUUUAUUUUAAAAUAACCUAUAGUUGAGGGAUCUCCACACUUUUUCACUCUAAGGGCUUGUUUGGUUUAUCCAUUUUGGGUAUGGAAUGGGAAUCGGUUUGAUCAAAUCCGGUUAAUUUUGUUUGGUUCGCAUGAAUCGGUUAGGGAUUCCUAUUUUGGACAGGAAUGGGAAUGGCCCAUUACCCUUCAACUUAAUUCCGGUCUUCUAGCCAGGAUUGAGAUUUCAUUCCGGAAGCCCACUAAGUUCUCGAAGCCCAUGUAACCAACUCACCCUCCUUCUCUUCACCCCUUUCUCAUCAAAAAAAAAAAAAAAAACCUAUUAUCUCUCAAAACCCUAUCCCUAAUCCACAUCAAUAAAAGUUUUUAAAAAUAAAUUUGAUAUUUUUUUUUGAAAAACUUAUUAGAGAAUAGUAUUAUAUUUUUUAUAAAUUUUAAAUAAUAUAACUUUAUAUUUAAGAGUAAAAUUAAUAUUAUAGUAUCCUAUAAUUUUUUUAGUUUAUACGAAGCAAACAAUAAAAUGUGAAUAACUCAUUUCAAUUCUCAAUCCACAAAUAAACCAAAUAUCUUGGGGGAGUGGACCAUUCCAAUUAUCAUUCCAAUUCAUUUUCAAUCCAUUAUUCAUUCCAAUUCCAUCCUUGAAACAAACAAGCCCUAAGAAGUGGAGGGGAGAGAAAACAAAACGUACGAAAAAGAAAAAGAAAAAGAAAAAAAAAAGUUUAUUUUAACUCUAAAAUUAACUACAAAUUUUCAUUAAAAGUAAGUAAAGUAGUACAUUCGAAUGAUAAUUGGAAUGAAAAAAAAGAGGUCAAAAAAUAGAAAAUAAAGAUUCGCACAUACUCUUUUUUCACCGAAUUAAAAUAAAUUUGGAUAAAAGAAUUGCUCAGAAAAUUACCAAAUUUAAACAUAAUCCAGGUAAUAAAACGUUUUUAAAAAUAAAAAUAUGACAAAAUAAAGUAAAGAAAUGACUCUGUCCUCUCACUAAUAAAAAA
This 3397-nucleotide long non-coding RNA is filed under the name Ananas comosus (pineapple). RNAcentral's name for it is "long non-coding RNA (ACOM_LNC010430)". Lineage: Eukaryota; Viridiplantae; Streptophyta; Magnoliopsida; Poales; Bromeliaceae. The record is from RNAcentral.